GAGUUUGAUCGUGGCUCAGGACUAACGCUAGCGGCGUGUCUUAGCCAUGCAAGUCGUACGGAACUCUUUUUUGUAGUAAUACGAAAUUGAGUUUAGUGGCAAACGGGUGAGUAACGCGUGGGUAAUCUGCCUUCAGGAUGAGCAUAACAGGGGGAAACUCCUGCUAAUUCUCAAUGACAACUUUUUUGCAUAAGCAGAAGAGUUCAAAGCGGGGGACCAUUUUUGGCCUCGCGCCUGAAGAUGAGCCCGCGUCCCAUUAGCUUGUUGGUGAGGUAACGGCUCACCAAGGCUAAGAUGGGUAGCCGGCCUGAGAGGGUGACCGGCCACAUUGGAACUGAGACACGGUCCAGACUCCUACGGGAGGCAGCAGGCUAGAAAAUUGGACAAUAGGCGCAAGCCAGAUCCAGCGACGCCGCGUGAAGGAUGAAGGCUUUUUGUUGUAAACUUCUUUUAGAAGGGAAGAUGGGGUACAAUGUUAAUACCAUUGUAUCUUGACGCUACCUUCAGAAAAAGCUCCGGCUAACUCCGUGCCAGCCC
This 537-nucleotide ribosomal RNA is filed under the name uncultured microorganism. RNAcentral's name for it is "bacterial SSU rRNA". It matches the Rfam family "Bacterial small subunit ribosomal RNA", at positions 9 to 514 of the family's 1533-position model. The record is from RNAcentral.